GAGUAACACGUGGGCAACCUGCCCAAAAGAGGGGGAUAACACUUGGAAACAGGUGCUAAUACCGCAUAACCAUAGUUACCGCAUGGUAACUAUGUAAAAGGUGGCUAUGCUACCGCUUUUGGAUGGGCCCGCGACGCAAUAGCUAGUUGGUGGGGUUAAGGCUUACCAAGGCAAUGAUGCGUAGCCGAACUGAGAGGUUGAUCGGCCACAUUGGGACUGAGACACGGCCCAAACUCCUACGGGAGGCAGCAGUAGGGCAUCUUCCACAAUGGGCGAAAGCCUGAUGGAGCAACGCCGCGUGGGUGAAGAAGGUCUUCGGAUCGUAAAACCCUGUUGUUAGAGAAGAAAGUGCGUGAGAGUAACUGUUCACGUUUCGACGGUAUCUAACCAGAAAGCCACGGCUAACUACGCGCCAGCAGCCGCGGUAAUACGUAGGUGGCAAGCGUUAUCCGG
This 453-nucleotide ribosomal RNA is filed under the name uncultured Lactobacillus sp. RNAcentral describes it as "bacterial SSU rRNA". It matches the Rfam family "Bacterial small subunit ribosomal RNA", at positions 108 to 548 of the family's 1533-position model. Lineage: Bacteria; Bacillati; Bacillota; Bacilli; Lactobacillales; Lactobacillaceae. The record is from RNAcentral.